UUGGCCAACCCAAUAUAUAUAAGUGACAACAUCUAAAGAGGAUUAGAACAGCCGAACGUUCUCAUAAGAGAUCGUUCACGGAAAGCGGUGAAGAGUAGGUUUAUGAUGAUCCACAUGUUACAUUGCACAAACCUUCAAGAACGUGAGCAAUUACAUAAGCGCAAUGACGCGAGAGAGGAAGUACUUGUUGCGUUAAAUCCGUGACUGUAUCAAACUACAGCGAAAACGUUAGAAACGAAGCAUCAGCAUCACAAUGCGAUGUUCAUAAAUAGUUUGUUUAGACGAGGCCACGUUGGAGUAAAAAAUAUCUUUCUCUUCUAUGUAUUUCCUUGCGCGUACUUGACAGUUCUCCUUUUCUCUUUUUCUCUCUCUUUUAUUUUUUAUGGUAACCCAGCAAGCUUGUGAUACCACAGGCAUUGCUCUAGGUGCAGUGUGUUGCUUGUGGAUGCACACCAUUCUCUCAUGUUGAAUGAAACGAGCCCAGCGGUGACGUAAUGCGGUCAAUCGUAUAACGCAAUCUCAAUUUCCACGUAAUCUCGAUUUCCACGUGCUCGGUGCAGGUGUGUUCAUUGCUCUUUCCCAUGCUUGUGGCUUGGUCUUGUGGAAUAUGAAAACCUUUAAAACGGACACGUAUGUUGUUCGUUCGAGAACUAAAACGAACUAGAAACGAAUAGAGUUAGAGCGCGUAAAAAACGAGUUCAGAAAUAUUUAUUAUGUAAUUCCAAACGCCACAUAUAUUCAUAGGCUUGUUCAAUAUUGAUUUUUAACGCACGGUCAAUCAACCUUUAACGUGACUUUAAUUGCGCUUAAAAUAUGCUAAGCAAAUGUCCUUCACGUGCUCGUGCGUCGAUUGUAAUGCCACCGUACUAUGCCACUGCUAUGUAGGAAAUUAUUAAUUACCCCAUGCCGUUAAUAGCUGAAGGAAAUUCCAGACGUUAUCAAGAAAUCUACCAUCUGCAUAGACGCUCAUCACAAAUCGCUUGAUUCUCAGCAAUCUUAAAAAUUGUUACCUUGCGGCUUCAGGUCGUCAAAGAAAGAUAUUAAAAUUCGAUAAGAGUACAUAGAAAAAUAGUACAUAAUAAAUAGUAUUACGUGACAAGAACGAUCUUAUCAAUAACGAUGAGUAGCGGUCAUUACGUCAUUUAUGUCAUUACAUAGAGUGCGGUAGUCAAGCUAGACUAGCAGAAUCAUGCUUUUUCAGGCUUUUGAAUUGCAUUGUGUCGAGGUUUUUUUUACGGUACGACGCACUAAUAUCGCGUUGCAUCGCGCCGCGUUUCCGAGUUUCCUUCUAGCUGCGUUCUCAAGCUGAUUAUUAUAAUGAGGCUUCUGUCGCCUCAUCGUCUGAUCGGCCGAGUACAGUAUUGUCUCGUAGGCAGCCCUGAUUGACGCAGAGGAUAUUCAUUAAUCGCAAUGCAUGAGAGUGAGAUUAAGAAGAACAAGACGGUCAGUGAACUAUUUGCAUACAGCGAACGAGUACACACUUGGUUUUCCUUAGGAAUCAGUCAGGCGCGACAUUGAUGCCUUGUGAGUUUCGAACUUAUAUUCUUUACAGAACAUUGUGUGCACGAUUCAGCACAAAUUUAUUGUGAAAGUAGAUAAAUCACGUUUUGAAGAACGAG
Long non-coding RNA from Ooceraea biroi (clonal raider ant), 1619 nucleotides. RefSeq lists it as uncharacterized. The record is from RefSeq and is a predicted model, not a curated record. Lineage: Eukaryota; Metazoa; Arthropoda; Insecta; Hymenoptera; Formicidae.